ACGCUCGACACCUACGGAAGGCAGCAGUGGGGAAUAUUGCACAAUGGAGGAAACUCUGAUGCAGCGAUGCCGCGUGAGGGAAGAAGGUUUUCGGAUUGUAAACCUCUGUCUUUGGGGACGAUAAUGACGGUACCCAAGGAGGAAGCUCCGGCUAACUACGUGCCAGCAGCCGNGGUAAUCUGAGGCGGGUCGUGGCAAGGC
Molecule: ribosomal RNA, 201 nt
Filed under: uncultured bacterium
Lineage: Bacteria
Description: partial 16S ribosomal RNA
Rfam family: Bacterial small subunit ribosomal RNA
Source: RNAcentral